UGACCUAGUUUCCUUCAUCUUCCAUUAUUGAAAUCUCAAUGGGGAUGUGUCAUUUGGUUCCCGAUUAUAUGACCAUUUUUUACGGUUGUUGUUCUAUAAGGUCUCUGUUUUAUGGAUGGAUUGUGAAGCAAAGAGUGAAGAGGAUGAAAUGCAUUGUAAGAGACAAUUUUGGGAAGCAGAGAGUGAAGCAGACUGGCAGAGAGUGAAGAAGGAAGAUGAAGAGGUUAUGAGAGGGACAAUUUUGUAAUUCCCUAAUUCCACUCAAUACCCAAAUAAGAAUAUUCGUUUUUUUUAAUUCAAUAUUAAUAAAACCUAUGAUAUCCGAAAUAUCACGUACCAAAUGACCUCUAUAAUAAUUUCUGAAAAAAAAAGAAAAAAGGAAAAUAGUAAGCAUAUAAUAAAUCAGCACGCUCUAGACUCCCGAAAGCUUUAGAUUGGUUACAUUACCUCUCCACCCCAACGCAACCACUAACCCACCGUCGCCGCCGCCAAACUUCCCAAAAUU
This 505-nucleotide long non-coding RNA is filed under the name Linum usitatissimum (flax). Its description in RNAcentral is "long non-coding RNA (LUSI_LNC001731)". Lineage: Eukaryota; Viridiplantae; Streptophyta; Magnoliopsida; Malpighiales; Linaceae. The record is from RNAcentral.